Molecule: ribosomal RNA, 497 nt
Filed under: uncultured bacterium
Lineage: Bacteria
Description: partial 16S ribosomal RNA
Rfam family: Bacterial small subunit ribosomal RNA
Source: RNAcentral
GAUGAACGCUGGCGGCGUGCCUAAUACAUGCAAGUCGAGCGAACAGACGAGGAGCUUGCUCCUCUGACGUUAGCGGCGGACGGGUGAGUAACACGUGGAUAACCUACCUAUAAGACUGGGAUAACUUCGGGAAACCGGAGCUAAUACCGGAUAAUAUAUUGAACCGCAUGGUUCAAUAGUGAAAGACGGUUUUGCUGUCACUUAUAGAUGGAUCCGCGCCGCAUUAGCUAGUUGGUAAGGUAACGGCUUACCAAGGCAACGAUGCGUAGCCGACCUGAGAGGUGUAUCGGCCACACUGGAACUGAGACACGGUCCAGACUCCUACGGGAGGCAGCAGUAGGGAAUCUUCCGCAAUGGGCGAAAGCCUGACGGAGCAACGCCGCGUGAGUGAUGAAGGUCUUCGGAUCGUAAAACUCUGUUAUUAGGGAAGAACAAAUGUGUAAGUAACUAUGCACGUCUUGACGGUACCUAAUCAGAAAGCCACGGCUAACUACGUG